GAGCGAACGCUGGCGGCAGGCUUAACACAUGCAAGUCGAGCGGGCACUUCGGUGUCAGCGGCAGACGGGUGAGUAACACGUGGGAACGUACCCUUCGGUUCGGAAUAACGCUGGGAAACUAGCGCUAAUACCGGAUACGCCCUUUUGGGGAAAGGUUUACUGCCGAAGGAUCGGCCCGCGUCUGAUUAGCUAGUUGGUGGGGUAAUGGCCUACCAAGGCGACGAUCAGUAGCUGGUCUGAGAGGAUGAUCAGCCACACUGGGACUGAGACACGGCCCAGACUCCUACGGGAGGCAGCAGUGGGGAAUAUUGGACAAUGGGCGCAAGCCUGAUCCAGCCAUGCCGCGUGAGUGAUGAAGGCCUUAGGGUUGUAAAGCUCUUUUGUCCGGGACGAUAAUGACGGUACCGGAAGAAUAAGCCCCGGCUAACUUCGUGCCAGCAACCGCCGUAA
RNAcentral lists this ribosomal RNA (450 nucleotides) under uncultured bacterium. RNAcentral describes it as "bacterial SSU rRNA". It matches the Rfam family "Bacterial small subunit ribosomal RNA", at positions 27 to 523 of the family's 1533-position model. The record is from RNAcentral.